RNAcentral lists this non-coding RNA (965 nucleotides) under Tropiocolotes steudneri. Its description in RNAcentral is "12S ribosomal RNA". It matches the Rfam family "Bacterial small subunit ribosomal RNA". The record is from RNAcentral. Lineage: Eukaryota; Metazoa; Chordata; Lepidosauria; Squamata; Gekkonidae.
CAACGUCUUGGUCCUAAACCUACUGUUAUUUUUAGCCCACCUUACACAUGCUAGUUUCCGCAAACCAGUGCAAACGCCCACCCGAACAUAGGAGCCAGUAUCAGGCUCGUACCUACAACAGCCUAAAACACUUAGCUACUCGCCACACCCCCACGGGCCUCAGCAGUGAUAAACCUUGGGCAAUGGGCGCCACACCAAGCCCGACCCAACGACAGCUAAAACAAGGGCCGGUAAACUUCGUGCCAGCCACCGCGGUUAUACGAAGGGCCCAAAAUAACACACUUCGGCGUAAAGCGUGACUACAGCCAACUGCCAACCAAAGAAACUCAACCCAACGUAUCAUAGUAGAAUAUAUCACAAAAAUAUGAUCACACAGUAUCUACAAUACCGAGCAAACCUGGAAUCACGACCGCUAGGGCACAAACUAGGAUUAGAUACCCUACUAUGCCUAGCCAUAAACCUUGAUAGUUAAACAACAAACUAUCCGCCAGAGAACUACCAGCAAAAAGCUCAAAACUCAAAGGACUUGACGGUGUCCCAAACCAACCUAGAGGAGCCUGUCCUAUAAUCGAUAACCCACGCUACACCCAACCUGCCCUAGCAACCACAGCCUAUAUACCGCCGUCGCCUUUCGCCCACCUAAUGAUAGACACCCAGUAGGCACAAUAGUCCCACACUAAAACAUCAGGUCAAGGUGUAGCUAAUGAGCAGGAAGAGAUGGGCUACAUUUUCUCCUCACCAGAAAAAACCACCGGCACUAUGAAACAUGUGCAACCAAGGAGGAUUUAGCAGUAAGCCCGGCAAGACCCACAGCCAGGCUGAAGCCCAGCUCUGGGACAUGUACACACCGCCCGUCACCCUCAUCAACCAACUACCACCCCCCCCCCAAAAAAAACCUCCACAACACCCCAAAAAAGAAAAAAGUCCUAACAAGGGAAGCGUUCUUGGAAGUGGGCCUUGGAACA